This 1101-nucleotide ribosomal RNA is filed under the name Triticum aestivum (bread wheat). Its description in RNAcentral is "partial small subunit ribosomal RNA". The record is from RNAcentral. Lineage: Eukaryota; Viridiplantae; Streptophyta; Magnoliopsida; Poales; Poaceae.
AUGGUGAUCGGGCAAAAAAAUGCGGAGGGUUCGAUCCAACGGUCAUGCCUACCCCGUCUGCUCUGCGCGCGGGAGCAGUACUCCGCAUUGCUCCUUUUCGUGGCCGUGGCCGCCGUCUGCCUCCUCGUCGUGGUUGGCAGUGGCACAUACGCGCUAUCGUCUCCGGCCGACGUCGGCGGCGAGAUGGAGCAGAGGUUCUUCAACAUAUUUCCUCGCCAAGCAGCGGCCGGCGCCUCGGACGAUGAACUGGAGGCGGCGCUGCGCGGCGCGGCCGACGCGAACAGGACGCUGAUCGUGAGCGUGCUGAACAAGGCGUACGCCGAGGAGGGCGGCCUGCUGGACCUUUUCAUCGAGAGCCUGAAGCAAGGGGAGGGCACCGGGCAUCUCAUCGGCCACGUCCUCCUUGUAGCCAUGGACGAACCAGCCUUCCGCAGGUGCAGUGGCCUCGGCGGCGUCCGGUGCUACCUCCUUCCCCCGGCGGCCGCGACCAACAGCACCAACCUCUCCUCGGAGCAGCUCUACAUGUCUGGCGGCUUCAUACGCAUGAUGUGGCGGCGCAUUCGCCUCCUCGGCGACAUCCUCAAGCACGGCUACAGCUUCAUAUUCACCGAUAUGGAUGUGAUGUGGCUGAGGAACCCGUUCCCGAGCCUGAAUCGCACCGAGGAGGAAGACCUCCUGAUCAGCACCGACGGAUUCAAGGGGCGGCCGGAGGACUACCUCGGCCACGAGCUCAACACGAGGUUCUUCUUCGUGGCCGCGAGCAACCGGACGGCGGCGAUGUUCGACGAGUGGCACGCGGCACGGGAGGCGUCGGAAGGCAUGAAGGAGCAGGACGUGCUAAACCAGAUGAAGCAACAAGGCGCGUUCCGCCGGCUCGGCGUGAGGGUGCGCGUCCUGGACACGGCGCGCUUCAGCGGCUUCUGCCAGGACAGCCAGGACGCCCGGCAGGUGGUCACCGUGCACGCCAACUGCUGCCGGACCAUGCGGGCCAAGGUCGCCGACCUCAAGGCCGUUCUUGGCGCCGCCAAGCAGCUCAACGGGACGACGGGGCGGCUGAAAUGGCCGCGUCAUUCAGCCUGCUUGGGAUCGUGGAGGAAGUGA